UACGGGGGGGGCAAGCGUUGUUCGGAAUUACUGGGCGUAAAGGGCGCGUAGGCGGCCCCUUUUGUCGCGUGUGAAAGCCCCGGGCUCAACCUGGGAACGGCGCGCGAAACGGGGGGGCUCGAGUCCGGAAGAGGAGUGUGGAAUUCCUGGUGUAGCGGUGAAAUGCGCAGAUAUCAGGAGGAACACCAAUGGCGAAGGCAGCACUCUGGGACGUGACUGACGCUGAGACGCGAAAGCGUGGGGAGCAAACAGG
RNAcentral lists this ribosomal RNA (253 nucleotides) under uncultured bacterium. RNAcentral describes it as "partial 16S ribosomal RNA". It matches the Rfam family "Bacterial small subunit ribosomal RNA", at positions 524 to 776 of the family's 1533-position model. The record is from RNAcentral.